Molecule: long non-coding RNA, 266 nt
Organism: Rosa chinensis
Lineage: Eukaryota; Viridiplantae; Streptophyta; Magnoliopsida; Rosales; Rosaceae
Exons: 3
Source: RefSeq, a predicted model, not a curated record
AUAUUUGUUAUUUGGUAUUGGUUUGGUGUUCUAUUCUUAUACAGAUAUCAGGAACUGUGAGCUGUUAAAUUUUCCAAGUAUUUUGAGUUCAGCAGACUGGUGAUUGAGCAAAGGAGAAACGAACGGCUUUGGAUCUGGGUUUGUGAUUGAAAUUAUGUGCCUGUUAAUUCAAACGUUGAGUCGAUCAGUACCUCGACGUGACAUGAGCGUCAAAGCGUUCAUCAUUAGCAAGCAAACAAACCUGCGGCAUCACGCGGGAGGAAUUG